Molecule: long non-coding RNA, 306 nt
Filed under: Medicago truncatula (barrel medic)
Lineage: Eukaryota; Viridiplantae; Streptophyta; Magnoliopsida; Fabales; Fabaceae
Description: lncRNA gene6487
Source: RNAcentral
AUGUUGUUUUCCUUGAAGUUAACAAAGCAACAAUGAACAUGUUGCACAAGGUUGAGCCUUAUGUAACUUAUGGAUACCCUAAUUUGAAGAGUGUAAGGGAACUCAUCUAUAAGCGAGGGUAUGGAAGCUAGAGAGGCAGUGAACUCUUCUCACUGACGACUCCAUCAGUGUGCAAGUAUGGUAUCCUAUGCAUUGAAGAUCUUAUCCACGAGAUCUUGACUGUUAGACUACAUUUUAAGGUGUUAAGCAACUUUCUUUGGCCAUUCAAGCUCAAGGCUCCAUUGGGUGGCUUGAAGAAGAAGAGGA